Molecule: unclassified non-coding RNA, 490 nt
Filed under: Hevea brasiliensis (rubber tree)
Lineage: Eukaryota; Viridiplantae; Streptophyta; Magnoliopsida; Malpighiales; Euphorbiaceae
Source: RNAcentral
GUUCGAGCUACACUAUUUCUUCUGGCCAAUGAAGACAGGUAGAAAACUAAAACAAAAUUGUACAGGUAAUACAAACUUCAGUUUGGCAUGGAAGAAAGUGAAUAAAUACAGCUACGUUGAAUGCCACUUCAGUCAAAGUGUUAGAAAAUAACAAAGUAUGAACCACAGUGAAAGAUAAAAAUAAUUACAUAAGACAGAACACAGCCACUUGCAGCAAUUUAUCACCUUUUUUUUUAUCAGUUACUUCAACUUAUAUACAAGUCAAUAGGGAACUGUGCAAAUAUGAAACAAAGAGAAAACUUGUUUGCCAUUUUGUUGUUGAAGGUGAUAAUGGCAAUCUACCUACUAUGCUACCUGGUUCCUAUAUGCAUUCUGUUUGAAUAGGCCCUUAAAGAAAUUGUUGAAAAGAUACAUCAAUUCCUAGUUAACAACAUGGAUGCAAAAAUAAAUAAAUAAAUAAUACAAUCACAUUUGUAAUUAAUGGAUGGAU